Molecule: ribosomal RNA, 261 nt
Filed under: uncultured prokaryote
Description: partial 16S ribosomal RNA
Rfam family: Bacterial small subunit ribosomal RNA
Source: RNAcentral
UACGGAGGGUGCAAGCGUUAUCCGGAAUCACUGGGCGUAAAGGGCGCGUAGGCGGCCUGUUAAGUCCGAUGUUAAAGACUGGGGCUCAACCCCAGCAUUGCGUUGGAUACUGGCAGGCUUGACGGUUGGAGAGGCGAGUGGAAUUACCAGUGUAGCAGUGAAAUGCGUAGAUACUGGUAGGAACACCCAUUGCGAAGGCAGCUCGCUGGACAACACGUGACGCUGAGGCGCGAAAGUGUGGGGAGCAAACCGGAUUAGAUA